UUGGAUACAAGGAGAAUCUUACAGAAUGCAAAUGAACUUGGAAGAAUUAGCAAUAAUUUCAAAACAUUAGAGAUGUGACACUGAGCGAAAGAGGUAAUCGAACUCUGUCUGUGAUGGGAACAAUAUCUGAAAGGAAUAUUUUUAUUUAAAGAGAUGCUUCUUAAAGUAACGUCUCCAGAUGAACCGUAUCACUUGGGAAUUCAUUGGAAGUAAAUGGCUACAGACGUACUGAAUUGGAAAUCGUGGGCGUGGAGCCCAGCAAUCUGUGCCUGAAGGAGCCACCCAGAGCCAGGAACCAUGCUUGAUGCAAGAACCAGAGCUUCUCCAGGAGAACCAACAGCUCAAACAGCAACUCGUAGGAGAACCUACAACGUCUCAA
This is a long non-coding RNA of Cavia porcellus (domestic guinea pig), 379 nucleotides long. RefSeq lists it as uncharacterized. The transcript has 3 exons. NCBI's taxonomy places the organism in Eukaryota, Metazoa, Chordata, Mammalia, Rodentia, Caviidae. The record is from RefSeq and is a predicted model, not a curated record.